UGUAAACGAUGUCGAUUUGGAGUUUGUCUAGAAUGGGCUCCGAAGCUAACGCGAUAAAUCGACCGCUGGGGAGUACGGCCGCAAGGUUAAAACUCAAAUGAAUUGACGGGGGCCCGCACAAGCGGUGGAGCAUGUGGUUUAAUUCGAUGCAACGCGAAGAACCUUACCUGGUCUUGACAUCCAUAGAAUUCUGCAGAGAUGUGGGAGUGCCUUCGGGAACUAUGAGACAGGUGCUGCAUGGCUGUCGUCAGCUCGUGUUGUGAAAUGUUGGGUUAAGUCCCGCAACGAGCGCAACCCUUAUUCUUUGUUGCCAGCGAUUUGGUCGGGAACUCAAAGGAGACUGCCGUUGAUAAAGCGGAGGAAGGUGGGGACGACGUCAAGUCAUCAUGGCCCUUACGACCAGGGCUACACACGUGCUACAAUGGCGUAUACAAAGGGAAGCGAAGGUGCGAGCUGGAGCGGAUCUCAUAAAGUACGUCUAAGUUCGGAUUGGAGUCUGCAACUCGACUCCAUGAAGUCGGAAUCGCUAGUAAUCGUAGAUCAGAAUGCUACGGUGAAUACGUUCCCGGGCCUUGUACACACCGCCCGUCACACCAUGGGAGUGGGUUGCACCAGAAGUAGAUAGCUUAACCGCGAGGGGGGCGUUUACCACGGUGUGAUUCAUGACUGGGGUGAAGUCGUAACAAGGUAACCA
RNAcentral lists this ribosomal RNA (694 nucleotides) under uncultured Enterobacteriaceae bacterium. RNAcentral's name for it is "bacterial SSU rRNA". It matches the Rfam family "Bacterial small subunit ribosomal RNA", at positions 801 to 1502 of the family's 1533-position model. Lineage: Bacteria; Pseudomonadati; Pseudomonadota; Gammaproteobacteria; Enterobacterales; Enterobacteriaceae. The record is from RNAcentral.